Molecule: non-coding RNA, 150 nt
Organism: Nelumbo nucifera (sacred lotus)
Lineage: Eukaryota; Viridiplantae; Streptophyta; Magnoliopsida; Proteales; Nelumbonaceae
Source: Rfam
AUACUUACCUGGACGGGGUCGAUGGGUGAUCAAGAAGGCCCAUGGCCUAGGUUAGCGACCUCCAUUGCACUAGGGAGGGGUGCCCGCCUAACAUCUCCCCAAGUGGGAGAGUGUACGUCAUAAUUUGUUCUAGCGGGGGUACGCGUUCGN